UUCAAACUGAAACAUGAUGCCGCCAAAUGGCAUGGUGCAUCUAUUGUCUGCUCUUACCUUUCCUGCUGUGCUCUCUUGUGUGAAGUCAGCAUCACCCCAAGUCCUGAGCACUAUGUUCAUGAGCUUCACUCCAUGCUGUCAGACUCAAGGUAAACUCAUAAUAAACUUCAGUAAUC
Molecule: long non-coding RNA, 176 nt
Filed under: Ictidomys tridecemlineatus (thirteen-lined ground squirrel)
Lineage: Eukaryota; Metazoa; Chordata; Mammalia; Rodentia; Sciuridae
Description: lncRNA (ENSSTOG00000031617.1)
Source: RNAcentral